GAGGGGAUAGCUCAGUGGUAGAGCGUGUGCUUAGCAUGCAUGGGGUCCUGGGUUCAGCCCCCGGUCCCUCCA
RNAcentral lists this transfer RNA (72 nucleotides) under Camelus ferus (Wild Bactrian camel). It matches the Rfam family "tRNA". From Rfam's summary of the family: Transfer RNA (tRNA) molecules are approximately 80 nucleotides in length. The record is from Rfam by way of RNAcentral. Lineage: Eukaryota; Metazoa; Chordata; Mammalia; Artiodactyla; Camelidae.